AUGAACGCUGGCGGCGUGCUUAACACAUGCAAGUCGAACGAUGAAGCCCAGCUUGCUGGGUGGAUUAGUGGCGAACGGGUGAGUAACACGUGAGUAACCUGCCCUUAACUCUGGGAUAAGCCUGGGAAACUGGGUCUAAUACCGGAUAGGAGCGUCCACCGCAUGGUGGGUGUUGGAAAGAUUUAUCGGUUUUGGAUGGACUCGCGGCCUAUCAGCUUGUUGGUGAGGUAAUGGCUCACCAAGGCGACGACGGGUAGCCGGCCUGAGAGGGUGACCGGCCACACUGGGACUGAGACACGGCCCAGACUCCUACGGGAGGCAGCAGUGGGGAAUAUUGCACAAUGGGCGCAAGCCUGAUGCAGCGACGCCGCGUGAGGGAUGACGGCCUUCGGGUUGUAAACCUCUUUCAGUAGGGAAGAAGCGAAAGUGACGGUACCUGCAGAAGAAACACCGGCUAACUACGU
Molecule: ribosomal RNA, 464 nt
Filed under: uncultured bacterium
Lineage: Bacteria
Description: partial 16S ribosomal RNA
Rfam family: Bacterial small subunit ribosomal RNA
Source: RNAcentral